AAGUAUUACAGGUCUUUUAGAAUUUGUCUAGCACAU
Molecule: small nuclear RNA, 36 nt
Filed under: Saimiri boliviensis boliviensis (Bolivian squirrel monkey)
Lineage: Eukaryota; Metazoa; Chordata; Mammalia; Primates; Cebidae
Also listed under: 1 other name
Description: U7 small nuclear RNA
Rfam family: U7 small nuclear RNA
About the family: Animal histone pre-mRNAs are spliced by a different mechanism than nuclear pre-mRNAs and self-splicing introns. This processing involves the U7 snRNP, which contains only one RNA species: U7.
Source: Rfam by way of RNAcentral